RNAcentral lists this ribosomal RNA (301 nucleotides) under uncultured bacterium. RNAcentral's name for it is "partial 16S ribosomal RNA". It matches the Rfam family "Bacterial small subunit ribosomal RNA", at positions 509 to 807 of the family's 1533-position model. The record is from RNAcentral.
CAGCAGCCGCGGGAACACGUAGGGUGCAAGCGUUAAUCAGAAUUACUGGGCGUAAAGCGUGCGCAGGCGGUUUGUUAAGACGGAUGUGAAAUCCCCGGGCUCAACCUGGGAACUGCAUUCGUGACUGGCAAGCUAGAGUAUGGCAGAGGGGGAUGGAAUUCCGCGUGUAGCAGUGAAAUGCGUAGAUAUGCGGAGGAACACCGAUGGCGAAGGCAGCCCCCUGUGCCAAUACUGACGCUCAUGCACGAAAGCGUGGGGAGCAAACAGGAUUAGAUACCCCAGUAGUCCCUGUCUCUUAUAC